UGGGGGAUCGUCUAAUGGUAGGACAGCGGCCUUUGAAGCCGUGAAUCCAGGUUCGAAUCCUGGUCCCCCAG
This 71-nucleotide transfer RNA is filed under the name Candidatus Terrybacteria bacterium RIFCSPHIGHO2_01_FULL_58_15. RNAcentral's name for it is "tRNA-Gln". It matches the Rfam family "tRNA". Rfam says of the family: Transfer RNA (tRNA) molecules are approximately 80 nucleotides in length. Their secondary structure includes four short double-helical elements and three loops (D, anti-codon, and T loops). RNAcentral also lists the same sequence under 1 other name. Lineage: Bacteria; Candidatus Terryibacteriota. The record is from RNAcentral.